GCCUUCAUGGCUUAGACGGGAAAACACACGACUAUGAAUCGGGUACGAUUCGGGUUAGAGCCGCGCUGAAGGCA
Molecule: non-coding RNA, 74 nt
Organism: Henosepilachna vigintioctopunctata
Lineage: Eukaryota; Metazoa; Arthropoda; Insecta; Coleoptera; Coccinellidae
Source: the annotation of a GenBank genome assembly